Molecule: long non-coding RNA, 396 nt
Organism: Catharus ustulatus (Swainson's thrush)
Lineage: Eukaryota; Metazoa; Chordata; Aves; Passeriformes; Turdidae
Exons: 3
Source: RefSeq, a predicted model, not a curated record
UCCCCGGAACUGGGAGCUGAGAGGAGCUGAGCACACCCACGUUAUCCCUGCGAGACAGAACAUCCGAGCGCUGAAACUAAAACCGCAGGGAUCCAACCACUCCAGAGCACAGCUGUGUAGGUGUCUGAACUGCUGCAAUUACACUGCUUUCACAAAGCCUCUUAACAGGUUUCUCCACCUCAUGCUUGAUGCUCUGUUUUGGCUCCUAAUCCAGGAUGGAUAACACAGCAAAAGUGGAACAGGAGAAGACGGCGCAUUGCAAGUGGCCCUUUGGCAACCUGCAGGGCUCACACUUACAGCAAAUACUCUGAGCGCAGAAGCUGUCUGAAUGCCAACAGGGAAAUACCUGUUGUCAAGGAUGAAAGACAAGACAUCUCCCAUUUCCCAGAAGUGCUC